GAUGAACGCUAGCGGUAUGCUUAACACAUGCAAGUCGAGCGGUAGAGAGGUGCUUGCAUCUCUUGAGAGCGGCGGACGGGUGAGUAAUGCCUAGGAAUCUGCCUAGUGGUGGGGGAUAACGUUCGGAAACGGACGCUAAUACCGCAUACGUCCUACGGGAGAAAGCGGGGGAUCUUCGGACCUCGCGCCAUUAGAUGAGCCUAGGUCGGAUUAGCUAGUUGGUGAGGUAAUGGCUCACCAAGGCGACGAUCCGUAACUGGUCUGAGAGGAUGAUCAGUCACACUGGAACUGAGACACGGUCCAGACUCCUACGGGAGGCAGCAGUGGGGGAAUAUUGGACAAUGGCGAAAGACCUGAUCCAGCCAUGCCGCGUGUGUGAAGAAGGU
This 386-nucleotide ribosomal RNA is filed under the name uncultured bacterium. RNAcentral's name for it is "bacterial SSU rRNA". It matches the Rfam family "Bacterial small subunit ribosomal RNA", at positions 28 to 415 of the family's 1533-position model. The record is from RNAcentral.